CCGCCUCCAUCAACACCAACACCAACACCAACACCAACAUCAACACCAUCAAGACCAGCACCAACACCACCAAUGUCAACACCAACACUAAUACCUCCCAUACCAAUAUAACCAACAACAACACCACUAAUACCAACACCAACACCAAUACUAACACCAAUAUCACCAACACCAACACCGCCCAUACCAACAUCACCAACACCAACACCAACACCAACGCUAC
This 223-nucleotide long non-coding RNA is filed under the name Capsicum annuum. RNAcentral describes it as "long non-coding RNA (CANN_LNC017241)". Lineage: Eukaryota; Viridiplantae; Streptophyta; Magnoliopsida; Solanales; Solanaceae. The record is from RNAcentral.